GACAGAGGGUGCAAACGUUGUUCGGAAUUACUGGGCGUAAAGCGAGUGUAGGCGGUUUGGUAAGUCGGAUGUGAAAGCCCUGGGCUCAACUCAGGAAGUGCACUCGAAACUGCCAAGCUAGAGUAUCGGAGAGGUUGGUGGAAUUCUCGGUGUAGAGGUGAAAUUCGUAGAUAUCGAGAGGAACACCGGUGGCGAAGGCGGCCAACUGGACGAAUACUGACGCUGAGACUCGAAAGCGUGGGGAGCAAACAGG
This 253-nucleotide ribosomal RNA is filed under the name uncultured bacterium. Its description in RNAcentral is "partial 16S ribosomal RNA". It matches the Rfam family "Bacterial small subunit ribosomal RNA", at positions 524 to 776 of the family's 1533-position model. The record is from RNAcentral.